ACGCACGCUGGCGGCGUGCUUCACACAUGCAAGUCGAACGGAAAGGCCCUGCUUUUGUGGGGUGCUCGAGUGGCGAACGGGUGAGUAACACGUGAGUAACCUGCCCUUGACUUUGGGAUAACUUCAGGAAACUGGGGCUAAUACCGGAUAGGAGCUCCUGCUGCAUGGUGGGGGUUGGAAAGUUUCGGCGGUUGGGGAUGGACUCGCGGCUUAUCAGCUUGUUGGUGGGGUAGUGGCUUACCAAGGCUUUGACGGGUAGCCGGCCUGAGAGGGUGACCGGCCACAUUGGGACUGAGAUACGGCCCAGACUCCUACGGGAGGCAGCAGUGGGGAAUAUUGCACAAUGGGCGGAAGCCUGAUGCAGCAACGCCGCGUGCGGGAUGACGGCCUUCGGGUUGUAAACCGCUUCCGCCUGUGACGAAGCGUGAGUGACGGUAAUGGGUAAAGAAGCACCGGCUAACUACGUG
RNAcentral lists this ribosomal RNA (467 nucleotides) under uncultured bacterium. RNAcentral's name for it is "partial 16S ribosomal RNA". It matches the Rfam family "Bacterial small subunit ribosomal RNA", at positions 29 to 507 of the family's 1533-position model. The record is from RNAcentral.